GCAACCCUCUGCCAUCCUCUUCUUCAAUGUGGAAGGUUUGUUCUUUUGUUCUUUGUGAUAAAUCUUGCUGUUGCUCACUCUUUGGGUCCACACUGAGUUUAUGAGCUGUAACACUUAUGAGCCAGCGAGACCACGAACCCACCAGAAGGAAGAAACUGCGAACACAUUGGAACAUCAGAAGGAACAAACUCUGGACAUCCUGCUUUUAGGAACUGUAACACUCACUGCGAGAGUCUGCGGCUUCAUUCUUUUAGUCAGUGAGACCAAGAACCCACCAAUUCCGGACAGGGCAUCUACCUAGAAGUCAGCAGCUCAGUGGAGUCUUUCCUGGUAACCCGACCUAAAAUCCCCAAACUGCCAAGAAUUGGUGUACAAAUAUCACGGACAGUGGGAAAAACAAUGAAUGCUGCCUGCUUAAGUCACAAGGCCCAGAAUGAACCUUUAUUAAGUCCAAGGGUCAGCAUUUGCUCCUAUGUUGGUCCCAUUGCAGAAUGAAGGUGAAGAAAGAGGAGAUUAGGCCUCUUGAAAAGAGAAAAUCCC
This 540-nucleotide long non-coding RNA is filed under the name Homo sapiens (human). RNAcentral's name for it is "HSALNT0348093". Lineage: Eukaryota; Metazoa; Chordata; Mammalia; Primates; Hominidae. The record is from RNAcentral.